This is a long non-coding RNA of Falco peregrinus (peregrine falcon), 2698 nucleotides long. RefSeq lists it as uncharacterized. NCBI's taxonomy places the organism in Eukaryota, Metazoa, Chordata, Aves, Falconiformes, Falconidae. The transcript is spliced from 2 exons. The record is from RefSeq and is a predicted model, not a curated record.
GGGCGUGUAGGGGGGCAAUGGGGGCUGUGAGGGGGCAACGGCAGCGCCGGGGCGGGGGCGUGCGAGGCGGCAGUGGCGGCAAACGGGCGCGCCUGGGACACGAGCGGCGGCGUGUGGGGCCGGGGGGCGGCGGCGGCUCCGCAGGGGCCGAGGCGGCAGGGGGUCCCGGGGUUGGGCUCGGGGCCCGGGGGCGCGGGACGCGUCCUGUGCAGACACGCAAAAACAUGGAGUUUGCUGCGGGAACGGGCAGCCGCGCAGGGGAGGCGUGAGGAGGUGGCGGGAGGACAGAGCAUGGCUGCCCGGGGACGGAGCAAAGGGCCUGCGGCGGGGCAGGGAGGGCAGGGGGCGGCGGGGCCAGGGCCCUGCCUGGAGCGAGGGGGCAGGGGCUGGAGAAGGAGGCAGGAAGGUGGCCAGGGCAGGAGCGAGGGAAGCCGUGGCCAGGGGAGGAGGCAGGGCAGUAGUCCGGGAAGGAGCGAGGGGGACCGUGGCCACAGAAGGAACAGGAUCGUGGCAAGGGAAAGAGCGAGGGGGUCUGUGGCCAUGGAAGGAGCGACAUCGUGGCCCGGGAAGGAGCGAGAGAGGCCAUGGCAGGAGGCAGGGCAGUAGUCAGGGAAGGAGCGAGGGGGGCCAUGGCCGGGGAAGGAGUGGGAUUGUGGCCAGGGAAGGAGCGAGGGGGCCGUGGCCGCAGGAGGAGUGAGGGAGGCCAUGGCCAUGGCAGGAGGCAGGGCAGUAGUCACCGAAGGAGCGAGGGGGGCCGUGGCCGGGGAAGGAGCAGGAUCGUGGCUGGUGGCCAGGGAAGGCUCAGCCCUGCCUCGAGCCGCACCGUGAUUGCCAGUUCAUUGUGGCUGCCCUGCAGCACAUAAAAUAACUCACCAGAUCUUGUGCAGCUGAGAAAACGGCAGAAGAGAAAAGUCCUUUUCAGUUCUCUUCCUAGAUACCAAACUGCAACAGAGAAAUGCUGAGUGCUUCCUGAGGGCUGCUAUGACUGGUGAGGAUCACUCUUUGCCAUUACCUCUUGAAUUUAUACUGGUUCCUGUAUACAGCAGCCUGGAGUUCACUGGUAGUAGAGAAAAAAAUUAAAUAUACAACUAGGACCACCCUAAAGCCCAAAGAAAAACAACUAAUGUUUGUUAGCUUGUGGAUUUGAGGCAGGGGCGGGAAGAGUUGAUUCCUUAUAUCAAACAACGUGGGGCUUCAUGAAGCUGAGAACCGAGUGAUACAAGUUUUUUUCCUAAGAGUGUAACACCAUGGAAAAAUCACAUCUUUUAACUAUUGUGGGAAAUUAGCUGGUCAAAUUGAGCUACUUCAUAAUUUUGCUGCAGGCUGUACGCAGGGCUGUUCACUCCCAACAAUAGGAAGUGUGUGUUGUAGCCAAGAGCUCUCAUACAUUCCUGUGCCAAUGGCUUGUAUUAAAAUGAGGGAUUCAAAACAAGAAGGAAAAAGUAUGUGUCUCAUCAGUAACAUGCCUCAUCAGCUCUCUCUUCCCAGAAGGCAGCCAGGCUGACUCCACAGAGACAGAAAGGCCCAAGCCAGGGAAAGAAAGCCCCAACAAUUUCACAGCUACUCACACAGAAAUGCUUCCACACAAAACCCGCCUCUGCUUGGAGUCUGGCUAGUUUGACCUGCAAAGCAGCAGAAAAAAAAAACAUUACAAAAUUCAAGUCUGAACACGAGUUUCCACUGAAAGAUGAUGAAAGUGAAACGUCAAGUUACAGAAAGAGGCAUUUUGGUACAUCUCUCCACGACACAUGCUUCUGAGAAGCUCAUAAAUGGUGAUUCCAUUAUCCUAAAACCUCGAAGGAUCAAAACCGCUGAGCAUCAGAGCAAAGUGUGUCCUGUCACCAAAAGAAAAAAAAGCCUUUCUCAUGUUCCCUCCUGCCUGCCAGGAAGAUGACCUGCUGGCUUUCCUGUCCCCCAAAACAGUGAGGUGCGGGACAGGCUAGAGGUUGAUGACAGAAAGUUAUUUCCAGACAAGGAUGAGAGACAGCUCACAUGCCGUGUCCUACAUACCAGGUGAGAAAGAAGAAUGAAAAGGCUAUGAACAGCUGCGUGGUGGGUCACCAGAGAAUCUCAGGGAGCUAAAAACAGCUUUCCAAGGGGACUGGGGGUGGUGUUUGUUUCAGAAGGUGACCUCCCCUCCUCUUGCAAGGAAACUGAAACAGGCAGUGGUGACCCCUGAUCUUUGUAGUGCCAUGGCGGAAUGCUCCCCCCAGUCCUCCAGGAGCUGCAAACUUCAGCAUUCUUAUCAGAUAGUGAAAGUGAAGGUGUUUUUUGCUGAUCAAUCCCAUUUGGAUAACGAGAUUGGGUGAGGUGACCCCCAUCUCUAUGGGAGCAGGACCCACCCUGGAGCAGGAGCUGGCUUGGCUGCUUUGAAAUGCUGCGUCUUAUCAGCAGAGCAGAGUUUAAAGCCUAGAAAACUGAUAAUAUUUGUUAGUGAUUAACAAUGUUAACAUGCUGAAGCAAAGCAGCACUUUGCCUCUUCCAAGCUCGCUGUGAAUAUGAAUAAGUGAAGUAGUCUUUUCCCGGGGGUGGGGGUAAACAAGGUCUUGUUCUCGUUUCACAGGAACACAAAGGCACUUGCUCAUCAUUCAGCUUUUUGCUGACCUUGGAAAUCCAGCUGGAACCUCACUUGGAAGACAGACUGGCUCUUACCUCAGGUUGCUAACUUGACAGUAAUAAAAUCCUUGACACAGCUUAA